CACCGAAGGAGUUGAAAGGCUUCGUCGAGAGCGAGAUCGUGCGCUGGGGCAAGGUCAUCGAUCAGGCCGGGCUCGCGGGCUCGGAAUAGCGGCCGCCCAUCGGGCACAACGCGUCAGUCAAAAAGAAACGAGUCAAAAAGAAACGCGCCCGGCCCCAGCGGGCCGGACGCGCUCGCACUGUGAACUCUGGCGGACCGCGCUGAGCGCGCGCGCUCCCGUGUCGGUCAGAUGCGACGGAACGUAUCCACGCCGCGCACCGUCCGGCCGCCGUAGGUCAUGACCCACUUCACCACGACCGUGGUCGGGUUGAUCAUGCGGCCGCGCCAAACCGUGGUCGCCCUGCAAUCGAGCGACCAGGCCUUCCAGGUCUGGAAGCCGAUGAGCGGGCCUCGGAUGGCCCCGGCGGCGUCAAACACGGCGCCCGGGCAGGGCGGGCCGUAAUUGAUGAAAACGCCCC
RNAcentral lists this unclassified non-coding RNA (457 nucleotides) under uncultured fungus. Its description in RNAcentral is "sequence contains 18S rRNA gene, ITS1, 5.8S rRNA gene, ITS2, 28S rRNA gene". Lineage: Eukaryota; Fungi. The record is from RNAcentral.